Molecule: long non-coding RNA, 337 nt
Filed under: Physcomitrium patens
Lineage: Eukaryota; Viridiplantae; Streptophyta; Bryopsida; Funariales; Funariaceae
Description: long non-coding RNA (PPAT_LNC011484)
Source: RNAcentral
AACUUGGUCAAAAAAUUAACCACAUAUUGAUAGCUUAGAAAAUAAAUUAACUAUGUGGCAUACAUAUUAAAAAACUUACCUUGUAAGUUAAGAUACGUAUCUUAUAAAGUCAACAUCAUUUGAAGGUCCUAUAGAACAUUGUCACAUAACUUCUAGUUAAAAGUAUAUAUGGAGGUGUGAUUGUCGUUUUACUUACUCUAAACUAAUCUAAUCAAAAUAAACCUAUAUAAGAAAAUUUGAAUAUGGAGAAAUACUAUCCAUAUGAGUUUUCAUGUUAGGAUCUCAUAUUUAACUGUCUCCUAGUCAAUUAAAACAUCCAAGAAUUCUAUACAUCUUC